GAUGAACGCUAGCGGCAGGCUUAACACAUGCAAGUCGAGGGGCAGCACGAUGUAGCAAUACAUUGGUGGCGACCGGCGCACGGGUGCGUAACACGUAUGGAACUUGCCCUUUACUGGAGGAUAGCCCGGAGAAAUCCGGAUUAAUACUCCAUAACAGUCGAGGUGGCAUCACCUUGGCUUGAAAGCUCCGGCGGUAAAGGAUGGCCAUGCGCACGAUUAGCUAGUUGGUGAGGUAACGGCUCACCAAGGCGACGAUCCGUAACUGGUCUGAGAGGACGACCAGUCACACCGGAACUGAGACACGGUCCGGACUCCUACGGGAGGCAGCAGUGGGGAAUAUUGGACAAUGGGACGAAAGCCUGAUCCAGCGACGCCGCGUGGGUGAAGAAGG
RNAcentral lists this ribosomal RNA (391 nucleotides) under uncultured bacterium. RNAcentral describes it as "bacterial SSU rRNA". It matches the Rfam family "Bacterial small subunit ribosomal RNA", at positions 28 to 414 of the family's 1533-position model. The record is from RNAcentral.